UUCAGCGAGGAGGAAAGGGUAGUAGUUAAUAACUGCUAUCUGUGACGUUACUCGCAGAAGAAGCACCGGCUAACUUCGUGCCAGCAGCCGCGGUAAUACGAGGGGUGCAAGCGUUAAUCGGAAUUACUGGGCGUAAAGCGUACGCAGGCGGUUUGUUAAGCAAGAUGUGAAAGCCCCGGGCUCAACCUGGGAAUUGCAUUUUGAACUGGCAAACUAGAGUCUUGUAGAGGGGGGUAGAAUUUCAGGUGUAGCGGUGAAAUGCGUAGAGAUCUGAAGGAAUACCGGUGGCGAAGGCGGCCCCCUGGACAAAGACUGACGCUCAGGUACGAAAGCGUGGGGAGCAAACGGGAUUAGAUACCCCGGUAGUCCACGCCGUAAACGAUGUCUACUCGGAGUUUGGUAACUUAGUUACUGGGCUCCCAAGCUAACGCAUUAAGUAGACCGCCUGGGGAGUACGGCCGCAAGGUUAAAACUCAAAUGAAUUGACGGGGGCCCGCACAAGCGGUGGAGCAUGUGGUUUAAUUCGAUGCAACGCGAAGAACCUUACCUACUCUUGACAUCCAGAGAAUUCGCUAGAGAUAGCUUAGUGCCUUCGGGAACUCUGAGACAGGUGCUGCAUGGCUGUCGUCAGCUCGUGUUGUGAAAUGUUGGGUUAAGUCCCGCAACGAGCGCAACCCUUAUCCUUAUUUGCCAGCACGUAAUGGUGGGAACUUUAGGGAGACUGCCGGUGAUAAACCGGAGGAAGGUGGGGACGACGUCAAGUCAUCAUGGCCCUUACGAGUAGGGCUAC
This 790-nucleotide ribosomal RNA is filed under the name Shewanella sp. MCCC 1A09874. Its description in RNAcentral is "bacterial SSU rRNA". It matches the Rfam family "Bacterial small subunit ribosomal RNA", at positions 434 to 1217 of the family's 1533-position model. Lineage: Bacteria; Pseudomonadati; Pseudomonadota; Gammaproteobacteria; Alteromonadales; Shewanellaceae. The record is from RNAcentral.